Molecule: ribosomal RNA, 417 nt
Filed under: Nasutitermes sp. ECU6
Lineage: Eukaryota; Metazoa; Arthropoda; Insecta; Blattodea; Termitidae
Description: partial 12S ribosomal RNA
Source: RNAcentral
CCCUAUUAUUUUAGAAUGUUAAUUUUUUGUGCCUGAGUAGUAUUAGUUAUGUUCUUGAAACUUAAAGAAUUUGGCGGUAUCUCAUUCCGUCCAGAGGAAUCUGUCCCGUUAUCGAUAGUCCACGUUGGACCUUACUUAUUUGAUUUUGGUUUGUAUACCGCCGUUUAUUGAUUAUCUUUUUAGGGGUUAUAUUAAUUUUCUGGUAUCUUUAUUUUGAUGUAUUUCAGGUCAAGGUGCAGCUUGUUUUUAAGUGGAAUGAUGGAUUACAAUGUUAUUUGUUUGUGGAUUGUUGGUUUUAAUAUUGGCAUGAAAUUGGAUUUGGUUGUAAUGAUUUGUAGAUUGUUAUUAUGAUAACUGGUUCUGAGAUAUGUACACAUCGCCCGUCGCUCUCGUUUGUUUAUUAUAAUGAGAUAAGUC